AUUGAACGCUGGCGGCAGGCCUAACACAUGCAAGUCGAACGAGUGGCGGACUGGUGAGUAAUGUCUGGGAAACUGCCUGAUGGAGGGGGAUAACUACUGGAAACGGUAGCUAAUACUGCAUACUAUCAGAUGUGCCCAGAUGGGAUUAGCUUGUUGGUGGGGUAACGGCUAACCAAGGCGACGAUCCCUAGCUGGUCUGAGAGGCUGACCAGCCACACUGGGACUGAGACACGGGCCAGACUCCUACGGGAGGCAGCAGUGGGGAAUAUUGCGCAAUGGGCGCAAGCCUGAUGCAGCCAUGCCGCGUGUAUGAAGAAGGCCUUCGGGUUGUAAAGUACUUUCAGCGGGGAGGCGUUACCCGCAGAAGAAGCACCGGCUAACUCCGUGCCAGCAGCCGCGGUAAUUC
RNAcentral lists this ribosomal RNA (406 nucleotides) under uncultured bacterium. RNAcentral describes it as "partial 16S ribosomal RNA". It matches the Rfam family "Bacterial small subunit ribosomal RNA", at positions 30 to 526 of the family's 1533-position model. The record is from RNAcentral.